This 20-nucleotide unclassified non-coding RNA is filed under the name Mus musculus (house mouse). Its description in RNAcentral is "oocyte_clustered_small_RNA13938". Lineage: Eukaryota; Metazoa; Chordata; Mammalia; Rodentia; Muridae. The record is from RNAcentral.
AGGUCACCUCCCGAAUGGCG